This 1279-nucleotide long non-coding RNA is filed under the name Olea europaea subsp. europaea. Lineage: Eukaryota; Viridiplantae; Streptophyta; Magnoliopsida; Lamiales; Oleaceae. The record is from RNAcentral.
CACACCCAAACUCUCUCACUCUCUCAUUUUUGGAUAGACGUUUAUGUUAAUUUCAUUUUUCUCUGAUUCGUCAACCCAUAUAUAUAAACCACCCUCUAACGAAUGGAGAUUUUCAUCUUUCCAAGGAAGAAGACUGUGAGAAAAAAAUUCUGGUCAAGGUGGGCUACUGUUAUUUUUAAUGAUGAUAUUACACUUGUGUUGUGGAUUGGGGUUUUAUAAAGCUUGAUUUCGCAAUUGGUGCAUGCUUGAGGAAAAUCUAGGGUUAAGUUUGUUCUAUUUGUUUAGACUGAUGUCGAUUUGUUAAUUAUAUGUGCUCAGGGUUUGAAUUCUAGGUUUAGGUUUUGUUUUGGCUUUUCGUUUUGAUUGUUUUUUCUUGCAGUUCAUGGUUCCUUGAUGGAUUGUCACGAUUGUGUUAGAAUUACGGUGUUAUGUCGAAAUGCUAGGGUUUUAAUGGGAUAUGAUUGGUUGAUUUCUUAACAUCUUUUAUGUGUUUCUUGAUAAUUAGUGUUCGGAUGCGUUUAUUGAUUCAGUUAUAAUAUGAGGUGGCAAGUAGGUUGAAAUAUAACUUAAUUUAGGAAUUUCAAACGAGCUGUGUAAGAUCCUUUUCUUUGUGAAAGUUUGAGAAUGUGAUUCUAAUGUAAUUCUGUAAUUAGGGUAGUGUGCAAUGCUCAUACAAAAGCAAACUGCUCAUAAGUCCAUUGGAGGAAAGGCUCCCAAGAAGCAAUUUGCUACUAUGGUUCUCCAUUGUUAUUGAUUUUUUUUUGCUUAUGAAUUCAUCCAUGUAAUAUAUUUUUGUAAUCAAGAUAAUUAAAAACACCUAUGGUCUUUUUCCCCACAGCCCGUAGAGGAGAAAAACUAAGCUAUUUUUUGUAAUGUUCCCAUCACAAGAUUGAUUGGUUUAGCUGACAGGAGGGGUGUGUUACUACCGAAAAGCAUUUUUGGUUUUACUUUUUUCUGUGUAUUGCAUAUUUUUUCUAUGUAUUGCAUAUGGUUAGUUAAAAUCAUUUCGAGUCUUUGAAAGUUAUGUUCUUUUUAUAGCCAACAAGAUAUAAAGAAAUGAACGUGUGUUAAGUGUGCUAAUUUCCUGAUGGCAAGUACAGGGACAGAACAAAAGUGGCUUUCAGGCACAUGAUUUCCCAUCCUAACCUUGAAUGCAAGUGCUUUUAUCAUAUUGUAUUCUUUCAGCUUGAGCUUUGCUUUAGACUUUGAUUUUGAUUGGGGACGAGAAUGUUACAAUAGUCAUAUGUUAGAAUGUAUUUGAAUAAGAAUUGUUUUUUCC